Molecule: ribosomal RNA, 400 nt
Filed under: uncultured bacterium
Lineage: Bacteria
Description: bacterial SSU rRNA
Rfam family: Bacterial small subunit ribosomal RNA
Source: RNAcentral
UCGAGAAUAUUCGACAAUGGACGAAAGUCUGAUCGAGCGACACCGCGUGCAGGAAGAAGGUUUUCGGAUCGUAAACUGCGGUAGUAGGGGAAGAACUUCGGUGACGGUACCCUACGGAAAGAGGUGGGUAACUACGUGCCAGCACCAGCGGUAAUACGUAGACCUCAAGCGUUAUCCGGAUUUAUUGGGCGUAAAGCGCAUGUAGGAGGUUUUGUGCGUCCCUGGUUAAAGCCCACCGCCCAACGGUGGAAGUGCCCGGGAUACGACAAGACUAGAGGGAGUUAGAGGUUCGUGGAACUCACGGUGUAGGGGUGAAAUCCGUUGAUAUCGUGGGGAACACCAAAGGCGAAGGCAGCGAACUGGGACUUUCCUGACUCUGAGAUGCGAAAGCGUGGGGAGC